GACGAGAAUCUACUGAAAGAGUUUUCGGACGAUGGAAGUAGAGGAGGUGGCGGACGGGUGAGUAACGCGUGAGGAACCUGUUUUGAAGAGGGGGACAACAGUUGGAAACGACUGCUAAUACCGCAUGAAGCAUAGGGGUCGCAUGAUUCUUAUGCCAAAGAUUUAUCGCUUCAAGAUGGCCUCGCGUCUGAUUAGCUAGUUGGCGGGGUAACGGCCCACCAAGGCGACGAUCAGUAGCCGGACUGAGAGGUUGAACGGCCACAUUGGGACUGAGAUACGGCCCAGACUCCUACGGGAGGCAGCAGUGGGGAAUAUUGGGCAAUGGGCGCAAGCCUGACCCAGCAACGCCGCGUGAAGGAAGAAGGCUUUCGGGUUGUUAACUUCUUUUAAGAGGGAAGAGCAGAAGACGGUACCUCUAGAAUAAGACACGGAUAACUACGUGCCAGCAGCCGCGGUAAUACGUAGGUGGCAAGCGUUGUCCGGAUUUACUGGGUGUAAAGGGCGUGCAGCCGGGUCUGCAAGUCAGAUGUGAAAUCCAUGGGCUCAACCCAUGAACUGCAUUUGAAACUGUAGAUCUUGAGUGUCGGAGGGGCAAUCGGAAUUCCCUAGUGUAGCGGUGAAAUGCGUAGAUAUUAGGAGGAACACCAGUGGCGAAGGCGGAUUGCUGGACGAUAACUGACGGUGAGGCGCGAAAGUGUGGGGAGCAAACAGGGAUUAGAUACCCUGGUAGUCCACACUGUAAACGAUGAAUACUAGGUGUGCGGGGGACUGACCCCCUGCGUGCCGCAGUAAACACAAUAAGUAUUCCACCUGGGGAGUACGAUCGCAAGGGUUGAAACUCAAAGGAAUUGACGGGGGCCCCGC
This 864-nucleotide ribosomal RNA is filed under the name uncultured bacterium. RNAcentral's name for it is "bacterial SSU rRNA". It matches the Rfam family "Bacterial small subunit ribosomal RNA", at positions 61 to 925 of the family's 1533-position model. The record is from RNAcentral.